RNAcentral lists this ribosomal RNA (340 nucleotides) under Veronicellidae sp. n. 3 NB-2014. RNAcentral describes it as "partial 16S ribosomal RNA". It matches the Rfam family "Archaeal large subunit ribosomal RNA", at positions 2005 to 2646 of the family's 2987-position model. The record is from RNAcentral. Lineage: Eukaryota; Metazoa; Mollusca; Gastropoda; Systellommatophora; Veronicellidae.
CGGCCGCAGUACCCUGACUGUGCAAAGGUAGCAUAAUAAAUUGAUUUUUAAUUGAAGUCUGGUAUGAAUGGAUUUACGUAAAAACUCUGUCUCAAUUUAAUUUUUGAAAAAUUUUUUAAAAGGUGAAAAAACCUUUAACUUAAAAAAGACGAGAAGACCCUAAGAAUUUUUUAAUAGAGGAGAAUAAUUCUUCUUUUUUGGCUGGGGCGGCGAUGGACCAAUAAACAUCCAGUUAUAUCGAAACAGUUCUUUAAAAAUAAAUUACCUUAGGGAUAACAGCACUAUUAUGACCUCGAUGUUGGACUAGGAUACCUUAAGGUUAGUCACUUUAAGGAAAUGU